CCUACGGGAGGCAGCAGUGGGGAAUAUUGGGCAAUGGAGGCAACUCUUACCCAGCAAUGCCGCGUGAAUGAAGAAGGUCUUCGGAUUGUAAAGUUCUUUAAUUGGGGACGAAAAAAAUGACGGUCCCCAAGGAAUAAGCCCCGCCUAAUUACGUGCCAGCAGCGGCGGUAAUACGUAGGGGGCAAGCGUUGUUCGGAAUGACUGGGCGUAAAGGGUGUGUAGGCGGUGUAGCAAGUUAGAAGGGAAAUACCGGGGGCUUAACUCAGGGGCUGCUUCUAAAACUGCUAGACUUGAGUGCGGGAGAGGAAGGUGGAAUUCCUAGUGUAGCGGUGGAAUGCGUAGAUAUUAGGAGGAACAUCAGUGGCGAAGGCGACUUGCUGGACUGUAACUGACGCUGAGGCACGAAAGUGUGGGGAGCAAACAGGAUUAGAUACCCGUGUAGUC
RNAcentral lists this ribosomal RNA (444 nucleotides) under uncultured bacterium. Its description in RNAcentral is "partial 16S ribosomal RNA". It matches the Rfam family "Bacterial small subunit ribosomal RNA", at positions 338 to 795 of the family's 1533-position model. The record is from RNAcentral.